Molecule: ribosomal RNA, 438 nt
Filed under: uncultured bacterium
Lineage: Bacteria
Description: partial 16S ribosomal RNA
Rfam family: Bacterial small subunit ribosomal RNA
Source: RNAcentral
CUACGGGACGCAGCAGUGAGGAAUAUUGCACAAUGGGGGGAACCCUGAUGCAGCAACGCCGCGUGGAGGAUGACGCAUUUCGGUGUGUAAACUCCUUUUAUAUGUCAAGAAAAUGACGGUAGCAUAUGAAUAAGCACCGGCUAACUCCGUGCCAGCAGCCGCUGUAAUACGGAGGGUGCAAGCGUUACUCGGAAUCACUGGGCGUAAAGGACGCGUAGGCGGGUUGGAAAGUCAGGUGGGAAAUCCUACAGCUUAACUGUAGAACUGCACUUGAAACUUCUAAUCUAGAGUAGGGAGGGGGAGAUGGAAUUAGUGGUGUAGUGGUAAAAUCCGUAGAUAUCACUAGGAAUACCUAAAGCGAAGGCGAUCUCCUGGAACAUUACUGACGCUAAGGCGUGAAAGCGUGGGGAGCAAACAGGAUUAGAUACCCCCGUAGUC